This 433-nucleotide ribosomal RNA is filed under the name uncultured bacterium. Its description in RNAcentral is "partial 16S ribosomal RNA". It matches the Rfam family "Bacterial small subunit ribosomal RNA", at positions 29 to 507 of the family's 1533-position model. The record is from RNAcentral.
AACGAACGCUGGCGGCAUGCCUAACACAUGCAAGUCGAACGAGACCUUCGGGUCUAGUGUCGCACGGGUGCGUAACGCGUGGGAACCUGCCCUUAGGUUCGGAAUAACUCCCCGAAAGGGGUGCUAAUACCGGAUAAUGUCUUCGGACCAAAGAUUUAUCGACUUUGGAUGGGCCCGCGUUGUAUUAGAUAGUUGGUAGGGUAAAACCCUACCAAGGCGACGAUCCAUAGCUGGUCUGUGAGGAUGAUCAGCCACACUGGGACUGAGACACGGCCCAGACUCCUACGGGAGGCAGCAGUGGGGAAUAUUGGAAAAUGGGCGAAAGCCUGAUCCAGCAAUGCCGCGUGAGUGAUGAAGGACUUAGGGUUGUAAAGCUCUUUUAACCGGGAUGAUAAUGACAGUACCGGGAGAAUAAGCUCCGGCUAACUCCGUG